AAAUUGAAGAGUUUGAUCAUGGCUCAGAUUGAACGCUGGCGGCAGGCCUAACACAUGCAAGUCGAACGGUAACAGGAAGCAGCUUGCUGCUUCGCUGACGAGUGGCGGACGGGUGAGUAAUGUCUGGGAAACUGCCUGAUGGAGGGGGGUAACUACUGGAAACGGUAGCUAAUACCGCAUAAUGUCGCAAGACCAAAGAGGGGGACCUUCGGGCCUCUUGCCAUCGGAUGUGCCCAGAUGGGAUUAGCUUGUUGGUGGGGUAACGGCUCACCAAGGCGACGAUCCCUAGCUGGUCUGAGAGGAUGACCAGCCACACUGGAACUGAGACACGGUCCAGACUCCUACGGGAGGCAGCAGUGGGGAAUAUUGCACAAUGGGCGCAAGCCUGAUGCAGCCAUGCCGCGUGUAUGAAGAAGGCCUUCGGGUUGUAAAGUACUUUCAGCGGGGAGGAAGGGAGUAAAGUUAAUACCUUUGCUCAUUGACGUUACCCGCAGAAGAAGCACCGGCUAACUCCGUGCCAGCAGCCGCGGUAAUACGGAGGGUGCAAGCGUUAAUCGGAAUUACUGGGCGUAAAGCGCACGCAGGCGGUUUGUUAAGUCAGAUGUGAAAUCCCCGGGCUCAACCUGGGAACUGCAUCUGAUACUGGCAAGCUUGAGUCUCGUAGAGGGG
RNAcentral lists this ribosomal RNA (669 nucleotides) under Escherichia coli. RNAcentral describes it as "bacterial SSU rRNA". It matches the Rfam family "Bacterial small subunit ribosomal RNA", at positions 1 to 659 of the family's 1533-position model. The record is from RNAcentral. Lineage: Bacteria; Pseudomonadati; Pseudomonadota; Gammaproteobacteria; Enterobacterales; Enterobacteriaceae.